Molecule: ribosomal RNA, 301 nt
Filed under: uncultured bacterium
Lineage: Bacteria
Description: partial 16S ribosomal RNA
Rfam family: Bacterial small subunit ribosomal RNA
Source: RNAcentral
CAGUAGCCACGGGAAUACGAAGGGUGCAAGCGUUACUCGGAAUUACUGGGCGUAAAGCGUGCGUAGGUGGUGGUUUAAGUCCGUCGUGAAAGCCCUGGGCUCAACCUGGGAAUUGCAGUGGAUACUGGGUCACUAGAGUGUGGUAGAGGAUAGUGGAAUUUCCGGUGUAGCAGUGAAAUGCGUAGAGAUCGGAAGGAACAUCUGUGGCGAAGGCGACUAUCUGGGCCAACACUGACACUGAGGCACGAAGGUGUGGGGAGCAAACAGGAUUAGAUACCCCCUGUAGUCCCUGUCUCUUAUU